CUAAGGGCAAAAGCUGCCUGUUUCCACUCCCUCACAUUCAAACUGAAAACUACGCGCCAAGGCUUUGCAGCAGAACAGAGCUGAAAUGAAAAAAAGAAAUGCCUCCCAGAAAGCAUAAGAAGUGUACUUUGGUCACUGUGAAAAAUCAUGCUGAAAAAGCUCAUGCUACAUCAGCAACCCCUGAUGCUUCUUCAGAAAGCGACACUGCUUCCCCACUGCCACAGACAUGCCCUCCUUCCUC
Molecule: long non-coding RNA, 241 nt
Organism: Acipenser ruthenus (sterlet)
Lineage: Eukaryota; Metazoa; Chordata; Actinopteri; Acipenseriformes; Acipenseridae
Exons: 3
Source: RefSeq, a predicted model, not a curated record